AUUAAGCUUUGCUUGAGAGUUACAUUUUUUUAAAGGGGACAAUAAAUUAAUAAGAAAACCCCGUGUGUUGCAUCCAGUCUUCCAAAUGAGAAUGCAGUGGGGCUGCACAUCUUUGUUUCCUCCUCAUUGAUCUCCAUAAUUUCUAUGCUAAUGAUUGGUGACCCAUGAAGGAUGACAUGUUUUGGUGAAUUGUUUUGAACUGAGCACUUACUAAACUAAUACUUUUGCUCAGUGGUUAGGUAUGUCUUAUUCUGCUUGAAAUGGAAGAAGUUAAUUCAGAUAACUUUUUCUAUGGAUGUGUGAUCCUCUUUCUUUACUUACCCAAAUGAGGCUGCUGUGCAGCUAAUUCAGUUUCACUGCAAUCCUUUUGAAAUAGGCAUCCUUAAUAAGUGGUUUGUCUAAGGACUGCCAUUAAUGUAGCCUCAUUGUGCUGUUUAGAUGACACUUUACUUAAAGUAGGCUGUAGUCCUGUCUGGGCUUUGGGAGUUCGGCAUUGAGACUUGGGGCUGUAAAAUUGCAACUGAUCCAAGGAAGGCAAGGCUCUCAUUUACUCCUGGGUCAUAUUUAGUAAGAGGAGAUGCUAGCUGUUCAGUUUCUUCCUACUGCCAUGGCUUCCCGGAGUUAGAACCUGGUAGGAAUCCCAGGAAAGCAGUGAUAUAUUAAUAAAUCCAAUUACCACCACCAACAGUUCUUGUUUUUAGAGUUACUACUCUUUAGGCUUUCAGAACUUCUUUCCCUC
This 739-nucleotide long non-coding RNA is filed under the name Marmota monax (woodchuck). Lineage: Eukaryota; Metazoa; Chordata; Mammalia; Rodentia; Sciuridae. The record is from RNAcentral.